UGGGGAAUAUUGCACAAUGGGCGCAAGCCUGAUGCAGCGACGCCGCGUGAGGGAUGACGGCCUUCGGGUUGUAAACCUCUUUCAGUAGGGACGAAGCGCAAGUGACGGUACCUAUAGAAGAAGGACCGGCCAACUACGUGCCAGCAGCCGCGGUAAUACGUAGGGUGCGAGCGUUGUCCGGAAUUAUUGGGCGUAAAGGGCUCGUAGGCGGUUUGUCGCGUCGGGAGUGAAAACAUCUGGCUUAACUGGGUGCUUGCUUUCGAUACGGGCAGACUGGAGGUAUGCAGGGGAGAACGGAAUUCCUGGUGUAGCGGUGAAAUGCGCAGAUAUCAGGAGGAACACCGGUGGCGAAGGCGGGUCUCUGGGCAACAACUGACGCUGAGGAGCGAAAGCGUGGGGAGCGAACAGGAUUAGAUACC
RNAcentral lists this ribosomal RNA (419 nucleotides) under uncultured bacterium. RNAcentral's name for it is "bacterial SSU rRNA". It matches the Rfam family "Bacterial small subunit ribosomal RNA", at positions 355 to 786 of the family's 1533-position model. The record is from RNAcentral.